UACGGGGGGGGUAAGCGUUGUUCGGAAUUACUGGGCGUAAAGCGCACGUAGGUGGCGACGUAAGUCGGGUGUGAAAGCCCCGGGCUCAACCUGGGAAUUGCAUUCGAGACUGCAUUGCUGGAGUACGGAAGAGGAGGGCGGAAUUCCCGGUGUAGCGGUGAAAUGCGUAGAUAUCGGGAGGAACAUCAGUGGCGAAGGCGGCCCUCUGGUCCAGUACUGACACUCAAGUGCGAAAGCGUGGGGAGCAAACAGG
Molecule: ribosomal RNA, 253 nt
Filed under: uncultured bacterium
Lineage: Bacteria
Description: partial 16S ribosomal RNA
Rfam family: Bacterial small subunit ribosomal RNA
Source: RNAcentral